Molecule: ribosomal RNA, 498 nt
Filed under: uncultured Glomeromycotina
Lineage: Eukaryota; Fungi; Glomeromycota
Description: partial small subunit ribosomal RNA
Rfam family: Eukaryotic small subunit ribosomal RNA
Source: RNAcentral
CCAAUAGCGUAUAUUAAAGUUGUUGCAGUUAAAAAGCUCGUAGUUGAAUUUCGGGAUUAGUACGUUGGUCGUGCCUUUGGUACGUACUGGUGUUACUGGUUCCUACCUUCUGAAGAACCGUCAUGUCAUUAAUUUGGUGUGGCGGGGAAUCAGGACUGUUACUUUGAAAAAAUUAGAGUGUUUAAAGCAGGCCCGCGCUUAAAUACAUUAGCAUGGAAUAAUGAAAUAGGACGUUUAAUCCUAUUUUGUUGGUUUCUAGGAUUGACGUAAUGAUUAAUAGGGAUAGUUGGGGGCAUUAGUAUUCAAUUGUCAGAGGUGAAAUUCUUGGAUUUAUUGAAGACUAACUACUGCGAAAGCAUUUGCCAAGGAUGUUUUCAUUAAUCAAGAACGAAAGUUAGGGGAUCGAAGACGAUCAGAUACCGUCGUAGUCUUAACCAUAAACUAUGCCGACUAGGGAUCGGAUGAUGUUAUUUUUAAUGACUCAUUCGGCGCCUUACG